Molecule: ribosomal RNA, 460 nt
Filed under: uncultured bacterium
Lineage: Bacteria
Description: partial 16S ribosomal RNA
Rfam family: Bacterial small subunit ribosomal RNA
Source: RNAcentral
CCUACGGGUGGCAGCAGUGAGGAAUAUUGGUCAAUGGGCGUAAGCCUGAACCAGCCAAGUCGCGUGAGGGAUGAAGGUUCUAUGGAUCGUAAACCUCUUUUAUAAGGGAAUAAAGUGUGGGACGUGUCCUGUUUUGUAUGUACCUUAUGAAUAAGGAUCGGCUAACUCCGUGCCAGCAGCCGCGGUAAUACGGAGGAUACGAGCGUUAUCCGGAUUUAUUGGGUGUAAAGGGUGCGUAGGCGGCCUUUUAAGUCAGCGGUGAAAGUCUGUGGCUCAACCAUAGAAGUGCCGUGGAAACUGGGAGGCUUGAGUAUGUUUGAGGCAGGCGGAAUUCGUGGUGUAGCGGUGAAAUGCUUAGAUAUCACGCAGAACCCCGAUUGCGAAGGCAGCCUGCCAAGCCAUGACUGACGCUGAUGCACGAAAGCGUGGGGAUCAAACAGGAUUAGAUACCCCUGUAGUC